RNAcentral lists this transfer RNA (65 nucleotides) under Dipodomys ordii (Ord's kangaroo rat). It matches the Rfam family "tRNA". Rfam says of the family: Transfer RNA (tRNA) molecules are approximately 80 nucleotides in length. Their secondary structure includes four short double-helical elements and three loops (D, anti-codon, and T loops). The record is from Rfam by way of RNAcentral. Lineage: Eukaryota; Metazoa; Chordata; Mammalia; Rodentia; Heteromyidae.
GGUGGCUCAGUGGUAGAGUGCUUGCCUUGCAUGCACGAGAGCCUGGGUUCAAUUCCUCAGCACCA